RNAcentral lists this ribosomal RNA (468 nucleotides) under uncultured bacterium. Its description in RNAcentral is "partial 16S ribosomal RNA". It matches the Rfam family "Bacterial small subunit ribosomal RNA", at positions 28 to 507 of the family's 1533-position model. The record is from RNAcentral.
GAUGAACGCUGGCGGCGUGCUUAACACAUGCAAGUCGAACGGAAAGGCCCAAGCUUGCUUGGGUACUCGAGUGGCGAACGGGUGAGUAACACGUGGGUGAUCUGCCCUGCACUUCGUGAUAAGCCUGGGAAACUGGGUCUAAUACCGGAUAGGACGAUGGUUUGGAUGCCAUUGUGGAAAGUUUUUUCGGUGUGGGAUGAGCUCGCGGCCUAUCAGCUUGUUGGUGGGGUAAUGGCCUACCAAGGCGUCGACGGGUAGCCGGCCUGAGAGGGUGUACGGCCACAUUGGGACUGAGAUACGGGCCAGACUACUACGGGAGGCAGCAGUGGGGAAUAUUGCACAAUGGGAGGAAGCCUGAUGGAGGGAGGCCGCGUGGGGGAUGACGGCCUUCGGGUUGUAAACUCCUUUCGCUAGGGAAGAAGCGUUUUUGUGACGGUACCUGGAGAAGAAGCACCGGCUAACUACGUG